CUACGGGUCGCACCAGUGAGGAAUAUUGCGCAAUGGGGGAAACCCUGACGCAGCGACGCCGCGUGGAUGAUGAAGGCUUUCGGGUCGUAAAAUCCUGUCAGAUGGAAAGAAAUGUAAUCCUGCUAAUACCAUGAUUACUUGACGGUACCAUCAGAGGAAGCACCGGCUAGCUCCGUGCCAGCAGCCGCGGUAAUACGGAGGGUGCAAGCGUUGUUCGGAAUUACUGGGCGUAAAGCGCGCGUAGGCGGUUUGUUAAGUCAGAUGUGAAAGCCCAGGGCUCAACCCUGGACGUGCAUUUGAAACUGGCAGACUUGAGUAUUGGAGGGGGUGGUGGAAUUCCCGGUGUAGAGGUGAAAUUCGUAGAUAUCGGGAGGAAUACCGGUGGCGAAGGCGACCACCUGGCCAAAUACUGACGCUGAGGUGCGAAAGCGUGGGGAGCAAACAGGAUUAGAUACCCCUGUAGUC
This 465-nucleotide ribosomal RNA is filed under the name uncultured bacterium. Its description in RNAcentral is "partial 16S ribosomal RNA". It matches the Rfam family "Bacterial small subunit ribosomal RNA", at positions 339 to 795 of the family's 1533-position model. The record is from RNAcentral.